GGGGAAUGGUAUGAAUGAUGAGAUCUUCAAAAACUGUGAAAAUUUUCGGAACCCCAAUGGAAGCCAGUGGGGCGAGCUGAAAGGAAAGCCAUAAAUCGAACAUUCCAGGUCCAUCGGCGGCUAAUUUUGAAUCAGGAGUUCCAUCGGAGAGUAGACGGAAAAUGUAAUCAAACGACAUGGAAUCACUAAUCGGGUUGAAAUCGGCGAAUUUCUUCUUCUCCGCGAGUUUAUCUUCAAGCUUAACGAACAUCUCAGACAAGGAGCUUCGAAACAGAGGGAUGAACCUGUCA
RNAcentral lists this unclassified non-coding RNA (290 nucleotides) under Hevea brasiliensis (rubber tree). The record is from RNAcentral. Lineage: Eukaryota; Viridiplantae; Streptophyta; Magnoliopsida; Malpighiales; Euphorbiaceae.